UGUGCCAACCAAGUCAGCAAGCCUGACCACCCGAUCCCAUUAGUCGCCUCUUCGUAGCAUAGUGGCCUUUUGUGGCAAGCAUGGGUUGCUGAAGACCUAUUCUACCCCGGAUCUUCACGGGUCACAGAAACUGUUAAAAAAGUGAGUUAAAGGGUUAUCAGUAUUAAGUUUUAACUAGUGAGUGGGAGGUGAGCCAAAGUGAUGUCGGACAAAGGCGUUUGCAGUUUGGUGCACCUCAUUAGCAUGGGAAUUGUGCUGUGCUCAGAGAAUACACCGAUGAGCCUAGAGAUUAAAGUGUCGGUUCGACAUGCCGAAGGUCUAGGUUUGAUUCCUUAAAUGGAUAUAAUGUAUGAAUCCUAUAUCUGCAGUGGAAUACCCAACUCACUCACACACUCACUCACUCACUCGAAAAAUUAGAAUAAAUGAGUAAAUGUUGUUAUGUGCCUCUGUCAACAAAAUAUCUCAGCUACACCACGUGGUCAGGGCAUGUCAACAUGCAGCUACAGAACAUGACCACCUGGUCCUAGCAGUCAGGAUAGCCAGGAAUAAUAAUAUGGUUUGUGUUUCUCACACACUGACAUGAAAAGUAGGGAAGGGGAAGGGAGAUUAAAUGUACCAUUCAAGAUUGUUGCACAUAUCUAGCAAUAUACAUGCAUGUGUGCAGACAUAUCAGUUUUAUAGCCCAGUUUGAAAUCAUGCUGCACUUUCACACGGAUACCCCACUCAGACACAGCAUGCAGACUCUGAGCUGACCAGUUGUUGUUUCACCACCUAAAUGCCAAUCACCAGGCAGGGAAACAACAAGUACCAAGUUUCCAUAUGCUGUGGCUGGGGACUGACCAACCUUUACACCCUGUGGACAUAAGCUCUGUCCACUAGACUACAAAGAUGGUCUAAUAACUGUAGAAGCUCUAUCCUCACGUGAUAUUUACAUGUUUGUCAUGUUGCAGAAAGCCACCAGAAUAGUUUGUUUUGUAGUUGUACAGUCUUAUCAGCUAAUUAUCCUGCAUAUAAUCCUGUUGUCUCUACUGGUCAUGUCGGUGAUAAUGAGACUAAAUCAAUCUCUCAUUCAGUAAUAUAAAACACAUGUUAAAUGGAAGCAGUUUCAUCAUUGUAAAACAUUUUUUAACUUGCAGAUAAACAAUUAAUUUAGAUUAAACUUCUUGAUUCACAAAAAGCAAACAUUGUUUGAUGUCAGUGUGGUCAAGCUAAACAUCUCUUCUAACCUCAAGCAUAAUCACUGGUCCCUAACAUGGCAAAUAUAUAGAUUACCUCACCAAAGUGAAUAAUGAUGGCAUAUUUGUAUGAACAGUUUUUCAGAUAAAAAUCAAGCUGUUUUGUCUUCCUUGUGUGACCAUAACCAAAAGUAAAUACAAAAUACUUGUUUUAUGUCGUCAGUCCUCUGAUGUGUUUUGUAUGUGAAGCCAGUAGAAAUCCACCACAUUAUGAUACAAUACAAGCUGUAUCCCAGUAAUCCAAACACAUGACUGAAGAUGUGAUCAUUUCAGGUAUUCCACUGUAAUACCAUCAACCAGUGUUCAUCCAUACACCCAUGUUUGUAUAGUACACUGAGAAGGAUGUGUUUUAGCCUAUUUGUAUCCUAAUUUGAAUGUCAUAUUGUAGACUCAUUAAUUGACUUUGACAUGUAAAGAAUUUUUAUUUUAAAAAAUUAUACCCAAAAUAAAAAUGCUUGACUUUUCGCUUAAUAAAGAGAAUUUUGCACA
This is a long non-coding RNA of Haliotis rubra (blacklip abalone), 1724 nucleotides long. RefSeq lists it as uncharacterized. The record is from RefSeq and is a predicted model, not a curated record. Lineage: Eukaryota; Metazoa; Mollusca; Gastropoda; Lepetellida; Haliotidae. The transcript has 2 exons.